This is a long non-coding RNA of Crotalus tigris (Tiger rattlesnake), 1521 nucleotides long. RefSeq lists it as uncharacterized. The transcript has 3 exons. NCBI's taxonomy places the organism in Eukaryota, Metazoa, Chordata, Lepidosauria, Squamata, Viperidae. The record is from RefSeq and is a predicted model, not a curated record.
CACCCACUUGAUGAACUAGUUUGUCCAGCUGAGGUCCAGAUCGUGAAGCCACGUGAGUCAGGUUGUGACUCAAAGACACUUGUACCAGGCUGAUCAUCGAUUUGUCCCCGUUGCUGAUGAAGAACAAACCAGAAGAUCAAACCUCAAAUUAUGUAUUGUCUUAUGCAUUGUUUGAUGUAACACUUGCUUUUUUGCAUAAUUGUGCAUGUUUUAUAUUUACCAAUAGUUAUGCAUGCUUGAUACCAAGUUUUCACCUAUUUAGUCACAAGUUAGUUAACAAUGAGGCUUGCAUGCCUUGAUGCUAUGUUUUUAUAUUUUAGUAGUGGAAAUAUAAAUUUCCAAGUGGGGAGUAUUCUGGACCGUAUAGGUCUAUGUAGCCUUAACCAGAGAGCAGAUAUCAGUGUGUUGGAGUGUCUGGCAGUUAUUGGGUUAAAUGCUACGUAUGUUGAUGGGUCAGUGGGAGGAGUAUCAAAGGUCAUUGAGAGACUUCCUGGACACAAGCCAGAUGGGAUCCUUUGUUCACCAGCCGCAUGGUUCCUAGCCACACGGUUAGGAGAUCCUUACCAACAUGUGACGCCCAGGAAGAGAAGAGGGGAAAAUCCAAUAUCAAUUUACCUGAGGAAUAAACCAACAUUGCAAACAUGUACUUCUGGAUGCAUCUCCUCGUGACUGUUUGUUCCAGUAACACAAGAAGCUAUGGCUUCGGCAAAUGGCCAGAAAGCAAAAGUCAUCAGAAAAGAUACAAUAUGAACAGAUGAAUCUUCCUGCAGUCUGUUGUAACAAUGCUUCAGCCUCAGUGGCUUGGUGAAAUUGUGCUGAAGAAGACAAUGACCCUUAUCACUUCAUUUAUAUAUCAAACUGGAAAGUUAAGCUGUAAUCCUAUAAAUAAGGAUGGACAGUCCUGCUUUUUUGCCAAGCGCUGCAUUCCCUUGAGACAGUGGUGGGAUUCAGCCAGUUCACACCAGUUUGGCACAACGGGUAGCUACUUUUUUGUUGCCCAGGCCCAGAAUGGUCUUCUGGAAGUGGCAUCCACACAGAGAACUGGUUGUUCACAUAUUUGAAUCCCACCACUGCCUUGAGAGUAAUUUAUAGAGGACUAUAUGCUGAAAGUGACUGAAAUUUAAGGAAGCAAAAGAAGGGCCACAGAGAAAGAUGGAUGACCAUUUUUUCUUUCCUAAGCUUUUUGAUGUUUCUUUUUUUGUCUUCUGUUUUUAUCUCAUAUUUCUUUUUCUGUUUACUUCCAGAGGGCUUUUGAAAUGAGAUAAAAGCACGGAACUAAGCUUAGUACUCUGGAUUGUCAAAACCUACUAUUUAGUUAUGUAUCUUAUUAUAAGUAUGGUUUUAGUUACGCAGUUUAGGAGAAGAAAUUUAUAAUUAUUACUGCUCUGCCUUUAAAUAAUUUUGAUUUGUUAAUAUUAAUCAAAUCAACUGAAUAAAUGGAAAACAACAAAACUGAUUUUAUCCUGAACUGCUGGAAUAAAAUCACCACUGAAUUUUCUAUUUAGCACUCAUUGCUGCUUA